UGGCUCAGGAUGAACGCUGGCGGCGUGCCUAACACAUGCAAGUCGAACGGAAUUUACAUGAAGCCUAGCGAUUGUAAAUUUAGUGGCGGACGGGUGAGUAACGCGUGGGUAACCUGCCUUGUACUGGGGGACAACAGUUGGAAACGACUGCUAAUACCGCAUAAGCGCACAGCUUCGCAUGAAGCAGUGUGAAAAACUCUGGUGGUACAAGAUGGACCCGCGUCUGAUUAGCUGGUUGGUGAGGUAACGGCCCACCAAGGCGACGAUCAGUAGCCGGACCGAGAGGUUGAACGGCCACAUUGGGACUGAGACACGGCCCAGACUCCUACGGGAGGCAGCAGUGGGGAAUAUUGCACAAUGGGCGCAAGCCUGAUGCAGCAACGCCGCGUGGAGGAAGACGGUUUUCGGAUUGUAAACUCCUGUUCUUAGUGAAGAAUAAUGACGGUAGCUAAGGAGCAAGCCACGGCUAACUACGUG
Molecule: ribosomal RNA, 477 nt
Filed under: uncultured bacterium
Lineage: Bacteria
Description: bacterial SSU rRNA
Rfam family: Bacterial small subunit ribosomal RNA
Source: RNAcentral